UAGAAUUGACGGUUUAGAUCGAU
RNAcentral lists this non-coding RNA (23 nucleotides) under Arabidopsis thaliana (thale cress). Lineage: Eukaryota; Viridiplantae; Streptophyta; Magnoliopsida; Brassicales; Brassicaceae. The record is from RNAcentral.